RNAcentral lists this ribosomal RNA (358 nucleotides) under uncultured organism. RNAcentral describes it as "bacterial SSU rRNA". It matches the Rfam family "Bacterial small subunit ribosomal RNA", at positions 45 to 433 of the family's 1533-position model. The record is from RNAcentral.
UGGAUAAGGCAUGCAAGUCAAGGGGACCGCAAGGUAACCGGCAGACGAGGUAGUAACACGUACGAACGCACCCCAGAGUCUGGCAUAGCUCGUCGAAAGACGGGGUAAUUCCGGAUGGUCCCGCAAGGGUAAAGUUUUUUCGCUCUGGGAGCGGCGUGCGUAAUAUCAGCUAGUUGGUAAGGUAAUGGCUUACCAAGGCUACGACGUUUAGGGGAGCUGAGAGGCUGACCCCCACCGAUGGGACUGAGAGACGGCCCAUACUCCUACGGGAGGCCGCAGUCGAGAAUCUUCCACAAUGGACGAAAGUCUGAUGGAGCGACGCCGCGUGAUGGACGAAGUGCUUCGGCACGUAAACAUC